CCUACGGGUGGCAGCAGUGGGGAAUAUUGGGCAAUGGGCGCAAGCCUGACCCAGCAACGCCGCGUGAAGGAAGAAGGCUUUCGGGUUGUAAACUUCUUUUGUCAGGGACGAAGCAAGUGACGGUACCUGACGAAUAAGCCACGGCUAACUACGUGCCAGCAGCCGCGGGAAUACGUAGGUGGCAAGCGUUAUCCGGAUUUACUGGGUGUAAAGGGCGUGUAGGCGGGGAAGCAAGUCAGAUGUGAAAACCACGGGCUCAACCUGUGGCCUGCAGUUGAAACUGUUUUUCUUGAGUGCUGGAGAGGCAAUCGGAAUGCCGUGUGUAGCGGUGAAAUGCGUAGAUAUUAGGAGGAACACCAGUGGCGAAGGCGGCCUACUGGACGGUGACUGACGCUGAGGCUCGAAAGCGUGGGGAGCAAACAGGAUUAGAUACCCGGGUAGUC
This 443-nucleotide ribosomal RNA is filed under the name uncultured bacterium. RNAcentral's name for it is "partial 16S ribosomal RNA". It matches the Rfam family "Bacterial small subunit ribosomal RNA", at positions 338 to 795 of the family's 1533-position model. The record is from RNAcentral.